RNAcentral lists this transfer RNA (77 nucleotides) under Rhizobium sp. OAE497. RNAcentral describes it as "tRNA-Pro". It matches the Rfam family "tRNA". Rfam says of the family: Transfer RNA (tRNA) molecules are approximately 80 nucleotides in length. Their secondary structure includes four short double-helical elements and three loops (D, anti-codon, and T loops). The record is from RNAcentral. Lineage: Bacteria; Pseudomonadati; Pseudomonadota; Alphaproteobacteria; Hyphomicrobiales; Rhizobiaceae.
CGGGGCGUAGCGCAGCCCGGUAGCGCACUUGACUGGGGGUCAAGGGGUCGCAGGUUCGAGUCCUGUCGCCCCGACCA